CUUGGUCAUUUAGAGGAAGUAAAAGUCGUAACAAGGUUUCCGUAGGUGAACCUGCGGAAGGAUCAUUACAGAGUUGUUGACACGAGUUGUUGCUGGUCCCCAAACGGGGGCAUGUGCACGCUCUGUUCACACAUCCACUCACACCUGUGCACCCACUGUAGUUCCAUGGUCUGGGGGACGUGCCGUCUCCCUCCCGUGGUUCUAUGUCUUUACACAUACGCCGUAGCGAAGUCUUAUGGAAUGCACUCUGCGUUUAACGCGAUAUAAUACAACUUUCAGCAACGGAUCUCUUGGCUCUCGCAUCGAUGAAGAACGCAGCGAAAUGCGAUAAGUAAUGUGAAUUGCAGAAUUCAGUGAAUCAUCGAAUCUUUGAACGCACCUUGCGCCCCUUGGCCAUUCCGAGGGGCAUGCCUGUUUGAGUAUCAUGAACACCUCAACUCUCAUGGCUUGCCCGUGAUGAGCUUGGACUUUGGGGGUUUUGCUGGCCCUACGGUUGGCUCCUCUCAAAUGAAUCAGCUUGCCAGUGUUUUGGCGGCGUCAUGGGUGUGAUAACUAUCUACGCUCGUGAUCGUCUGCUGAGUGACCUUCAGUGAUGGAGGUUCGCUGGAGCUUACAGAUGUCUCUCCUCAGCGAAGACAGCUUUUCGAACGUUCGAUCUCAAAUCAGGUAGGACUACCCGCUGAACUUAAGCAUAUCAAUAAGCGGAGGA
RNAcentral lists this ribosomal RNA (709 nucleotides) under uncultured Thelephoraceae. RNAcentral's name for it is "eukaryotic LSU rRNA". The stretch from base 271 to 425 matches the Rfam family "5.8S ribosomal RNA". The record is from RNAcentral. Lineage: Eukaryota; Fungi; Basidiomycota; Agaricomycetes; Thelephorales; Thelephoraceae.